AACGACUCUCGGCAACGGAUAUCCCGGCUCUCGCAUCGAUGAAGAACGUAGCGAAAUGCGAUACUUGGUGUGAAUUGCAGAAUCCCGUGAACCAUCGAGUCUUUGAACGCAAGUUGCGCCCGAAGUCACUAGGCUGAGGGCACGCCUGCCUGGGUGUCACGC
RNAcentral lists this ribosomal RNA (162 nucleotides) under Pimpinella rhomboidea. RNAcentral's name for it is "5.8S ribosomal RNA". It matches the Rfam family "5.8S ribosomal RNA". From Rfam's summary of the family: 5.8S ribosomal RNA (5.8S rRNA) is a component of the large subunit of the eukaryotic ribosome. It is transcribed by RNA polymerase I as part of the 45S precursor that also contains 18S and 28S rRNA. Lineage: Eukaryota; Viridiplantae; Streptophyta; Magnoliopsida; Apiales; Apiaceae. The record is from RNAcentral.